The sequence is a transfer RNA, 73 nucleotides long. It matches the Rfam family "tRNA". From Rfam's summary of the family: Transfer RNA (tRNA) molecules are approximately 80 nucleotides in length. Their secondary structure includes four short double-helical elements and three loops (D, anti-codon, and T loops). Further hydrogen bonds mediate the characteristic L-shaped molecular structure. tRNAs have two regions of fundamental functional importance: the anti-codon, which is responsible for specific mRNA codon recognition, and the 3' end, to which the tRNAs corresponding amino acid is attached (by aminoacyl-tRNA synthetases). tRNAs cope with the degeneracy of the genetic code in two manners: having more than one tRNA (with a specific anti-codon) for a particular amino acid; and 'wobble' base-pairing, i.e. permitting non-standard base-pairing at the 3rd anti-codon position. The record is from Rfam.
GGGCCCGUGGUCCAGUGGCUACGACGUCGCCUUCACGAGGCGAAGAUCGGGAGUUCGAACCUCCCCGGGCCCA